Equus caballus (horse) is the source of this 3028-nucleotide long non-coding RNA. NCBI's taxonomy places the organism in Eukaryota, Metazoa, Chordata, Mammalia, Perissodactyla, Equidae. The record is from Ensembl.
GCCCAACUACAAACUUCCUUUGCUUGACUCUUAACACUGAGCUAAGAGUCUAUAUAUACUCAGGCCUCCAGUUCGGGGAAGCCCUUCGCGGCCAAUCAGGGCUUCCCGAUCUAUUGCGUCACACCUCCCCCCUGGGUGUGACGUCAAAGGCAAUCCCAGGCCAGCCACGUGGGUUGGAGGAGCGUUUCUGGGCAGCUGUUCCAGAGACACCCGGCAGCAACGGUCCCGCAAGGGUGGGGAACUGGGCAGGGAGGGGCAGACAGGGCUCCUACGCGCACCUUCUGGGAACACAACUGUGGCAGCUCGCUCGCCCCGGAGGCGCGCAGGUCCCCCCUCCCCGGAUACCGGAAAGUCUCUUCUCUUUUUCGUAUCAAAAAAAGCCCGGUGAAGACUCUGCAGAACCCAGGAAGCGCAGAAUCGGGAGAAAGUCUUUGGCUGGGGCUGGUUCAAGACCCUGCUUCAAUGGGCUGCUGGAAGCCAGGACUGGGGUUCCUCUGAGGUUGGACUUCUUUCGCGCUCGAUAGGCCUUGAAAACUGGGUUCCUGCUCCUUAUUACAUAUCUGGGACAAUAAUGAACAGGUCAAAACAGAAAAGUCGAGUAAACUGGGAGCGAUGCUUUUCAACACGUCGCGCAGGGUGUAGUGUUGGGGGAUGUGAUUUGAGGGCAAGAAUUUUAUUGCAAUACUAGGUAGUCAGCCAGCCCGGUCCCCGGGGGCCGACCUGCAAAGUACUACGCGUUUCCGCCCCCCGACCCCCCCACAGCGGUUACACCUCUGGGAAGCAUUACCUUGCCUGAUGACUUCACACUGCUCGGGGAAACCCACUUACUAAUUCUCCCCUACAAACCUUCAGGGCUUCAGCCUUUGUUUGAACCCUGCCUUAGGUGGUUCAACUCUUGAGAAACUGGCUUAAGUUUCAGAGCACAAUUUCAUCCACUUAAUCAGACUCCUGCUUCUUGAUUUUUAGUUGUACGGUAGUUUUUAAAUGCUAACCUGUAAUUUAAAAUAUAUUGUCUAACUGAUGUACUCUUACAUAUAAUGUGGAUUAAACUGAUUUAGGGGGAGGGUGGACAUCAUGGAGUGUCAAGUGUCUGGCUGUGGGACCCCACAGGGGCACUUAACAUCCACUCUAAACUUCCAUGAAUAUUAUAUGUAAUGCAGGCUUGCUGAUUAUUGCUUAGUAGUGCUUAACUGUUCCUGUGCUAAUGGUUCAAGCAGUGAAAACAUUUAGUAAAACUGUGUUUCUUUAUUAAUCAAAAACACAUUUGUUGUUUGUUCCCUUGAACUUGUAAUUCAUGGCCCAUAAAGCAAAAGCAAAAUAUUUCCUCACUGCGGAUGAAUGUAAAAGCUAAUUACAUAUCCGUGCAUUUCUGUCAGUUUCUCCCCCAUCCCCCAAGAGAAUGGGAAAGAGGCUAGAGGUGAAAGUUUACAUUUAAAUUCAGGGGUGAAGCAGAAUACUGUAUCAAUCAGAUUUUCUUAGGCAGGGCAUCCAGAAUAAGAGAUUGAAUAAAUUCAAAUCCCACCUUUGAUGAGGGAUUGUUUGUGUGUUCCUGGAAGCAUAUUUUACCUCUCUAGACCUUUAUUUCCUAGUUGAUAAAUGGAGAAAAUACCUGCUUUACAAAGUUGUUAUGAUGAUAGAACGUGUGAAACUAUGUUAGGAGAUUAGUAGAGUGCCUAAGCUCUACUCUUAGGUAGAGCUUCCUAAUGUAACUUAGCGUUUCCUAAUUUAACCAUUGUCGCUAUUCAAAAACAUUAGUACCCUUCUCCUGGUUUUCUAUUUGUUAUAUUAUUCUUGAUAGGCAUUAACUGGAGUUUCAUCCUGGGCUCAUUUGUUUGACCUACUUCAGCUUCCUACUGUCCCCUCACUGUCUCUCAUAGAUUGAAUUAUUCUAUGUGCCCAUGAAUACACCCCAAACCUUUACGUUUAACCAAAAUUCCUUUCUGGAUUCCAGGCCUGAAUUACGGCUACUAGCCAUCUAGUAUUGAUUAAUAAGCAUCAUAUUUGGAGACGGGAGAUUCAGUUUCACCAACAAGCUAUAGCUUGUUUCAACCAAUUGAAUAACAUACGAUUGUCAAUUUCAAUUUUACCUUUCUAUUUUAAACAUAAGCUGUUUGGAUCAGAAGAUGACAGAUGUUUCAGGUUUUGACAUCCUAAGACAUACUUCUCCAACCUACGCUUGUUAUGGUUUCAACUAUCCAAGACAACAUAGCGAAGAACUUCAGAGAACAAGAAAAUCCAAAUUCUAUUCCAAGAUUUCAAGUAAGACUGCUUUCAAAUACAGGUGGCUGAAAUCCGUGGGAGGAAAACUUUGAACCAAUUCAGUAAAGUGAGACUUCCUACCUUUAUCCAAGAGAGGUGUUAGCUUCAAGACCCAAUUAGCAGAAUUUCCAUUCCAAUUGCACCUGAGAGCUGGUACUGCCGCUGCCAGUCCGAAAAUGCCAUUAAGAAGUGUGAUUCCGUGCAUUGCAUUAGUCACAUCCUGCCUACCAAGGAUGUCAGGAUAACUGAGGAUGAAAGCAAGCAAGUGCGAUGCUAUUCAAAGGAAUUACAUUUUCCUGAAUUAUAGGAAUGUUCUCGCCCAUAGCGUCUUCUUUCUAGUAUUUUAAAGUUUCAAAGUUCAACUCAGAUCUGUGGGAGUCUGAGAACUUCAUAUGCAAUGGUUCCAUCUAUAUAUUAUACGUAAGCCAAGAACCAGGACGUAUUUUGAGUUUGUUCCUGACUCACCUCUUGCAGAGAACACCUGUUGUUUGUUCACACCGAAUUGGUCAGGCUUCUAAUUAAGCAAUUUGCGAAGUAGCCUCAUUGUUUUGGAAAGCCGAGUGGUUCCAGGAAUCAGAGGUGAAAAGAAAAGACUUCUCAGAGUGUGGACUGAAGGUGGCCUCGGUCACAGUCACCCGGCUACUUUUAGAAAUACAGAUUCUGUGUGUCCAAACCCCAGACCCAUUUCACUAGAAUUUGUAGUGCUGAGUCUGGGAACACACCUGUUUUGAAAGCUUCCUCAGGGAGUUCAUAUGCACUCUGAAUCUUG